UGUUCUCGUACGAUCACCGACGUUAAGCAACGUCGAGCCUGUACCUAGAUGGGUGACCGCUUGGGAAUACCAAGUGCUGUAAG
Non-coding RNA from Acanthosepion pharaonis, 83 nucleotides. The record is from the annotation of a GenBank genome assembly. Lineage: Eukaryota; Metazoa; Mollusca; Cephalopoda; Sepiida; Sepiidae.